Small nucleolar RNA from Hibiscus syriacus, 107 nucleotides. Lineage: Eukaryota; Viridiplantae; Streptophyta; Magnoliopsida; Malvales; Malvaceae. The record is from RefSeq and is a predicted model, not a curated record.
AAACAAUGCAUCGAUCAUUUGCACAGUAAAUCUUUAAAUUGCUCUCAUGCUUCAUAAAAGCUCUCAUUCUCCAACUACUUGCAAGAUGUGAUGUCAUUCCUCAAUUU